This 818-nucleotide ribosomal RNA is filed under the name uncultured bacterium. RNAcentral describes it as "bacterial SSU rRNA". It matches the Rfam family "Bacterial small subunit ribosomal RNA", at positions 8 to 814 of the family's 1533-position model. The record is from RNAcentral.
AGAGUUUGAUCCUGGCUCAGGAUGAACGCUAGCUACAGGCUUAACACAUGCAAGUCGAGGGGCAUCAGUUUGGUUUGCUUGCAAACCAAAGCUGGCGACCGGCGCACGGGUGAGUAACACGUAUCCAACCUGCCUCAUACUCGGGGAUAGCCUUUCGAAAGAAAGAUUAAUAUCCGAUAGCAUAUAUUUCCUGCAUGGGUUUUAUAUUAAAGAAAUUCGGUAUGAGAUGGGGAUGCGUUCCAUUAGUUUGUUGGCGGGGUAACGGCCCACCAAGACUACGAUGGAUAGGGGUUCUGAGAGGAAGGUCCCCCACAUUGGAACUGAGACACGGUCCAAACUCCUACGGGAGGCAGCAGUGAGGAAUAUUGGUCAAUGGACGCGAGUCUGAACCAGCCAAGUAGCGUGAAGGAUGACUGCCCUAUGGGUUGUAAACUUCUUUUAUAUGGGAAUAAAGUGGUCCACGUGUGGAUUUUUGUAUGUACCAUAUGAAUAAGGAUCGGCUAACUCCGUGCCAGCAGCCGCGGUAAUACGGAGGAUCCGAGCGUUAUCCGGAUUUAUUGGGUUUAAAGGGAGCGUAGGCGGAUUGUUAAGUCAGUUGUGAAAGUUUGCGGCUCAACCGUAAAAUUGCAGUUGAUACUGGCAGUCUUGAGUGCAGUAGAGGUGGGCGGAAUUCGUGGUGUAGCGGUGAAAUGCUUAGAUAUCACGAAGAACUCCGAUUGCGAAGGCAGCUCACUGGACUGCAACUGACACUGAUGCUCGAAAGUGUGGGUAUCAAACAGGAUUAGAUACCCUGGUAGUCCACACAGUAAACGAUGAAU